UUGAACACCUCCAAGGACGGGGCAUCCACAACCUCCCUGGGCAGCCUGUUCCAGGACCUCACUACUCUGAAUCACCCCAAUCUACAUGAGACCGUCAGCUGAGGUUCCCAGAUUUAGCUUGAAAACCACAAGAUGUGUGAGCUCAGUUUUGGUCACUGUUUGUAUUUGCUGAUAGCUGAACUGUUUGCUUAUAUCAAGUUUCCAAACUUUUUUUUUUUUUUCUUUUCCCUCGCAGAGAGGGGUUACAAAGGUUCCAUUUGGGUGGUUUACUGAAGGAAGCUGAAAGUCUUACACAACCCCUGGCUUCAUUAACCGAGGCUUUCAGAUAUUUAUUUAUAACCGAUUAUAAAACCGCCUCCCGCCAACACGAAGCGGGGCUCAGCAGCGCUCGGCCCGCACCGCCGCCAUCGCGUAGGAAAUGCGCAGAUAAACCGCGGUGGCCUGCACCGAUGGGAGGGGGGUAGGGCGGGCAGAGCCGGCUCCGAGGGAGCCCGGAGCUCGGCUUCGAGUCGGGCACAGCCGCUCCGGGUGCCCGGCCGCUGCCUCAGCCCGCGGCACGGAUCUGCCCCGCAGCCGCCGCCGCCUGCCCUCAGCUCGUCCCCCACAGAGCGUGGCGGGCGGGAAUGGCGGAGAGCGCCGACAGGGCCGCACAAGUUGACGGGCCGCGCUCUGCCGGCUGGAGGAGGAAUCUGAGGCAAAAGCCGAACAGGAUCGCGGGCGGGAGCAUGGAUCGACGGCUGCCGGAGCUCGCCGGAGCGGCAGGCGGCCGGGGGCAGCGGGGUUUGGUGACCCUCUUCUCCUUUACCCUGCCCAAUGGGCUCAUCUGCACUGCUGUGCCUUGAGAGAGCUGUGGGACCGUUGCCUGCUGGAGUGCUGGGAGGAAGAGGUGGUGUGCUGGACGAUGGAGCACAAGGAGAAACACCACCUCAGGCAGGCAGGCAGGCAGGCCUGGUCUUCCCUGUGUGUCCCUAAGGCCUUUCUUUUCUUCCUUCUGCCCCUAUGCUCCCCAAACAGCACCUGGUUAGUAACUGCAGGAGUAACUGUUGCAGAACAAACAACUGAAAGGCUGAUUGUUGGUUACCAGUCCUUGCCUUUGUGCUCAUCCAAGGCAAGAGGCAUCAGGUCAGCUGUGCCUUUUUUUCAUUUUCAUCGUUAUCUUCAACGCAGAAAUAAAGCUCUGAAGUGCUGGC
Non-coding RNA from Coturnix japonica (Japanese quail), 1190 nucleotides. The record is from RefSeq and is a predicted model, not a curated record. Lineage: Eukaryota; Metazoa; Chordata; Aves; Galliformes; Phasianidae.